Gallus gallus (chicken) is the source of this 3461-nucleotide long non-coding RNA. RefSeq lists it as uncharacterized. Lineage: Eukaryota; Metazoa; Chordata; Aves; Galliformes; Phasianidae. The transcript has 2 exons. The record is from RefSeq and is a predicted model, not a curated record.
AGCACGGGCUGCGGUCAGUGCCGGCGCGAGGGGGCUGAGGCCACCCCCAGGUGGCAAUCAGAGCCAGCUGAGCCCAAUUAACCUGCGGGGGAGGAGUACGGUGGGGCUGAAAGAGAGAGCUGGGAAGGGGUGUGCCUCACUUGGUGGCGUGGCUUGCUUGGAUGUAGCCGUCUCAGAGAAGCCCCUCUGAUGGGAUCCGCCUAAUUGCCUUUCUCAUUCAGACAACCCUGGAGUUAUUUGCUAAUGAACACCGUCGCAGCACAGCAUUCACACACAGCGCUGCCAGCAGGUGGAGAAGUGGGGAAAGGUGCUGAGCCCCUGCAGGGCCGGAGCCCUCCCAGCCAACGUGCACCGCUCCCACUGGAGGCUGCGGCCAACACCGCACGGCACCCGCAGGAAGGGCCUGAAAGGACAAAUGGAGGGAGAGGACAUCGGUGGCAGUGAUAAAAAGAAAGUUUAAAGCUCGCAUUUAGAUAAAUUGACUGGAAAAUUUGAUCCACACCGUCUUUCAAAUACGAUUAUACAAACAGAAUUUGCCUAAAUAUUGUAAUUAAAAUUCUGCCUAUAGCAUAAUAAAAGAGGGAAAAUAGUAUUAAAUGAUCAAGGCAUUUGAAUGUCUGAAAUAUCACCGUGUGAUGUUUCAUGCUAUCCACUAAAUAAGUAAUUUACUGCAAAACCUAUCAAAGCAAAAGGAAAUUAAGUCAGAUAAGGCUGCCUUUUAUUUUGCAGUUCAGUUUUGCAGAGGAUGCCAUCACUUUCAGAGCACGUUUGAUUUCUUUCAAGGAAAAAGCUCCAAGCAAUUCAGCACAGGCCCUGCAACAUGCAGGGUGCAGCAGCUCCAGCAGUGGGUGCUGGCCACCAACAGCUCCCAUCCGGGCAGGACAGGGCAGGGCUGGCUCCACCAUACACCAACAUCCCCACCUCCAGCCCACAGGCCAUGCAGUAUCGCUCCCAAUGGCAUUUGCACCACAGAACAUUUGCGGCAUCAAUAAAAUCCUGGCUCAUCAGCACAAAUAGAAUUUUAAAUGGAAUUCUUAUCAAAUCAGCCUCCCAUCAAGAUCGCACGAUGUCGCGCACACAACCUUUUCAGAAGCUGUGUACAUGACUGCUGCGGGAGGUGCAAGCAAGACAAGCUCCAAUGAGACCGCUCGACUGAUGCAGCGCAACAGGCGGCGGCGUGGGGCUCAGCACCGUUUGGGCGGUGGGUGCUCGGCAGGAUGUGAGCACACUGCCAGCAGUGCAGGAGCAAAGCACAGCCCAGGUGUGCGACACAGACAUGGCACGGCCCUGUGCGUCCCUCCCCACCUGCAGUGUGCAGAGCAAACUGCACGGCACAGCUGUCUGAAGGAGCGCAGCCCCAACAGCAGCACGGGUGCCUGUGUGACAACCCCGAGAAAUAUUUCUGCAAACACAAUAGAAGAGAUAAUGGUAAUUAGGCCAGCGUUUUGUGCCAUAAUGUUCUUGAAUGCCUACAAAAAUACAAUAUUUUCAGCAAAAGAUAAUUGAAAAGAUUAUUUGCCUUAUCUAAAAUAAGUUUUUUCCAGCCUCAGCACAUCUGUUUCCAGAAUCCUCACAGACGUUUGCUGCAAUGCCACUCAGUGCUGUUUGUUACUGUGAGAAGGGCUGAACAAAAGCCCCGCUGUGUUGGUUCUGUUUGGGUCCCUCUGCAGGACAUGGUCCAGUGUUGGCACCAGCCUACAGAUGGAUGGGGACAACACAGCAUGGCUCACAUGCGCAGCUCCCUGCACAUACCCUCAGGCAGUCGCUGCCACCAGGUUACGUGCACCAGGUUCCUCAUGGGACACCUUCAGCGCAGCACGCGAGGUGUGAGCUCAGACACCGCUGGUGUUAACCCCGCACACCAACCAUGCUGACCGUCUGCUUACAGAGCUGACAGGGGAGCAAACUUCUGCAGGGGCUCCAGGUGACACUUCACAUUCUGAACAUUUUUCCUUUUGCAAAGAGAAAUCACCUUCUGAAAUUACAAGCAAAUAAAGCGGACUUCCCAGAAAGGGGCAAUUUCUGUGAUCUUUAAUUGCUUUAUUCCUCAUAAGGGAAGAGAAUGAUCAGUGGUUGAGGGAAAAAAAGCCAUGCCAGAAAUGGAUUUCUGCAUUUCUCCCUUUUACUCAUCGAUGGGAGAAGAGCAAUGGGGCAGACAUGGCACUAAUUCUUGUUGUAAACUACUCUGGGAACGUAUUUUGCUCAGAGCCAUUAGCAGAGAAACACAUUAACAGGAAGAGCCAACAGUACGGCACAGUCCAAAUGUACAUAAAGGUCUCAGUCCUUUAUAGCAGCACAUAUUCUCCACAUUUCUCACCUCUCCUUAUGAGAGGCUGAAUGAGUUCAUGCCUCUCCAGGCCUUUGGAACCUCUCAGGAGGGUCCCCAGGGAUGGCUCCUGGGCUGAGCCCUCCAUGCAGCACCCACUCUGCAGACACCAACUGUGCCCAUCUCCGGCCAUGCAGGUAAAUUUUGCUCUUAAUUAAACAAACGCCACAACGACAUCUGGGAAUUGGCAGCUGCAGUCUGACCAAAUAAGCAUUAUACCUCUGUUAAUUAAAAGAAAAACCCUUACAAUUUCCCUAAUGAAAUUUCCACUCGGAUAAGAUGGAACAGUAUAAAUUUGUAAAGCAAGAAAUAACCCAGGAAGAUCAGCAAAUCUGCCAAUGUAUCUUUCUUGUGGAAAAAAUACUUAAGCUAACAAGGAAAGAUGAAGCUGUAGACGUUGCAAAAGAAAAUCAACAUUGACUGAUUUUCAGCUUGGCUCUGCAGCUGCUCCUACAUAGCAACUGGGAAAAUGCAUCCAGGCUUCCCUUACUCAUUUGUCCCUAUGCUGUCCCUCCCAAAGUGACCCUCACAGCGCCUUCCACACCAGGCAGGGAGCACUGAGGGUACUGCACCCACCCUACAGCCGCACUGCCCACAGCACUGCAGCACACACCCCACAGCAGCACUGCCCCUCUGUGCACCAACAGGGCCAUCCUGCACUGUCUUUCCUGUGAUGCAGUGAUGCAAUCCAUCCCUUUUUUCUUUUCUCUAUCUGCUUUUCUUUCAGCUCUUUGCUGUCUCACAAUGACCUACUUUUGCCCACAGAGGAGCUGUACUCGCCUCUGAUACUGGUUUCCUCCUUCCCUCUCAUCUGAGCUAACUGAUCCCAGGACUGCAGGUUCUCUCAGGGUUCAGUUUUUGCACUAUUUACCUGUACUACAACCAGUACAAUGAGCCCAUGGGACCUGAUAGGGCUCUCCAGGUCCUACUGAGCAAAAACCAGCCAACACUGAGCAAUGGAACAGGGCAGUUACUAGUAGCAGCACUUCCAACUGCAGCACUCACAGCCCUAGGCCUCCCCAUUACUCCAAGCAGCCACCACUGCCACAUUUAUUGCACACAUUUGGUGUAUUUCUGCAUUGUUCUCAGUGGGCUGUACAGAACCAAAGUGAUGUAUUAUUUAUGAGAAAUAAAU